RNAcentral lists this ribosomal RNA (253 nucleotides) under uncultured bacterium. RNAcentral's name for it is "partial 16S ribosomal RNA". It matches the Rfam family "Bacterial small subunit ribosomal RNA", at positions 524 to 776 of the family's 1533-position model. The record is from RNAcentral.
UACGUAGGGGGCUAGCGUUGUCCGGAAUCACUGGGCGUAAAGCGCGUGUAGGCGGCCUGCUAAGUCUGAUGUGAAAGCCCGAGGCUCACCCUCGGAAGCGCAUUGGAAACUGGCAGACUGGAGUCCCGGAGAGGAGGGUGGAAUUCCUGGUGUAGCGGUGAAAUGCGUAGAUAUCAGGAGGAACACCGGUGGCGAAGGCGGCCCUCUGGACGGUGACUGACGCUGAGACGCGAAAGCGUGGGGAGCAAACAGG